This 363-nucleotide ribosomal RNA is filed under the name Triticum aestivum (bread wheat). Its description in RNAcentral is "partial small subunit ribosomal RNA". Lineage: Eukaryota; Viridiplantae; Streptophyta; Magnoliopsida; Poales; Poaceae. The record is from RNAcentral.
AUGGACUCUAAUGCUGGAUCAUUUGAUUCGUCAAGUGAAACCGUCAAUGAAAUAGAAAAUCAUCCAGAUUGUCGCUAUAUGACACCAAAUGAGGUUGUUUGGCGCUUACCAAAGGGAAUGAAGAAUGAUUUGGUAUCCAAUUACCCCAGAAGUUAUGUCAAAAAUAAAAGCUUCCCAGUUGACGAUGCACAAAUGCCACUAUCUACAAAGCCAUUUCCUAGCAAAGAAAUGAUGACCCGUCAAUCUUCAAAAAGUAUCCAGAGUGUGAUGAUCCAUACACCAGAGGGCUCAAACAAUACUACACCUUCCUCUUACCAAUGUGCAACUAUUGUCAUUGAAAAAAAUAACAUAGGUACUCUUUAG